RNAcentral lists this ribosomal RNA (2413 nucleotides) under Klebsiella quasipneumoniae. RNAcentral describes it as "partial 23S ribosomal RNA". It matches the Rfam family "Bacterial large subunit ribosomal RNA", at positions 1 to 2432 of the family's 2925-position model. Lineage: Bacteria; Pseudomonadati; Pseudomonadota; Gammaproteobacteria; Enterobacterales; Enterobacteriaceae. The record is from RNAcentral.
GGGUUGUGAGGUUAAGCGACUAAGCGUACACGGUGGAUGCCCUGGCAGUCAGAGGCGAUGAAGGACGUGCUAAUCUGCGAAAAGCGUCGGUAAGGUGAUAUGAACCGUUAUAACCGGCGAUGUCCGAAUGGGGAAACCCAGUGCAAUUCGUUGCACUAUCGUUAACUGAAUACAUAGGUUAACGAGGCGAACCGGGGGAACUGAAACAUCUAAGUACCCCGAGGAAAAGAAAUCAACCGAGAUUCCCCCAGUAGCGGCGAGCGAACGGGGAGCAGCCCAGAGUCUGAAUCAGCUUGUGUGUUAGUGGAACGGUCUGGAAAGUCCGACGGUACAGGGUGAUAGUCCCGUACACCAAAAUGCACAGGCUGUGAACUCGAAGAGUAGGGCGGGACACGUGGUAUCCUGUCUGAAUAUGGGGGGACCAUCCUCCAAGGCUAAAUACUCCUGACUGACCGAUAGUGAACCAGUACCGUGAGGGAAAGGCGAAAAGAACCCCGGCGAGGGGAGUGAAAAAGAACCUGAAACCGUGUACGUACAAGCAGUGGGAGCACCUUCGGGUGUGACUGCGUACCUUUUGUAUAAUGGGUCAGCGACUUAUAUUCUGUAGCAAGGUUAACCGUAUAGGGGAGCCGCAGGGAAACCGAGUCUUAACUGGGCGUUAAGUUGCAGGGUAUAGACCCGAAACCCGGUGAUCUAGCCAUGGGCAGGUUGAAGGUUGGGUAACACUAACUGGAGGACCGAACCGACUAAUGUUGAAAAAUUAGCGGAUGACUUGUGGCUGGGGGUGAAAGGCCAAUCAAACCGGGAGAUAGCUGGUUCUCCCCGAAAGCUAUUUAGGUAGCGCCUCGUGAAUUCAUCUUCGGGGGUAGAGCACUGUUUCGGCUAGGGGGUCAUCCCGACUUACCAACCCGAUGCAAACUACGAAUACCGAAGAAUGUUAUCACGGGAGACACACGGCGGGUGCUAACGUCCGUCGUGAAGAGGGAAACAACCCAGACCGCCAGCUAAGGUCCCAAAGUCAUGGUUAAGUGGGAAACGAUGUGGGAAGGCACAGACAGCCAGGAUGUUGGCUUAGAAGCAGCCAUCAUUUAAAGAAAGCGUAAUAGCUCACUGGUCGAGUCGGCCUGCGCGGAAGAUGUAACGGGGCUAAACCAUGCACCGAAGCUGCGGCAGCGACACGAUGUGUUGUUGGGUAGGGGAGCGUUCUGUAAGCCUGCGAAGGUGACCUGUGAGGGUUGCUGGAGGUAUCAGAAGUGCGAAUGCUGACAUAAGUAACGAUAAAGCGGGUGAAAAGCCCGCUCGCCGGAAGACCAAGGGUUCCUGUCCAACGUUAAUCGGGGCAGGGUGAGUCGACCCCUAAGGCGAGGCCGAAAGGCGUAGUCGAUGGGAAACAGGUUAAUAUUCCUGUACUUGGUGUUACUGCGAAGGGGGGACGGAGAAGGCUAUGUUAGCCGGGCGACGGUUGUCCCGGUUUAAGCAUGUAGGCUGGUUAUCCAGGCAAAUCCGGAUAAUCAAGGCUGAGGUGUGAUGACGAGGUACUACGGUGCUGAAGUAACAAAUGCCCUGCUUCCAGGAAAAGCCUCUAAGCAUCAGGUAACAUCAAAUCGUACCCCAAACCGACACAGGUGGUCAGGUAGAGAAUACCAAGGCGCUUGAGAGAACUCGGGUGAAGGAACUAGGCAAAAUGGUGCCGUAACUUCGGGAGAAGGCACGCUGGUGUGUAGGUGAAGUCCCUGCGGAUGGAGCUGAGACCAGUCGAAGAUACCAGCUGGCUGCAACUGUUUAUUAAAAACACAGCACUGUGCAAACACGAAAGUGGACGUAUACGGUGUGACGCCUGCCCGGUGCCGGAAGGUUAAUUGAUGGGGUUAUCCGUAAGGAGAAGCUCUUGAUCGAAGCCCCGGUAAACGGCGGCCGUAACUAUAACGGUCCUAAGGUAGCGAAAUUCCUUGUCGGGUAAGUUCCGACCUGCACGAAUGGCGUAAUGAUGGCCAGGCUGUCUCCACCCGAGACUCAGUGAAAUUGAACUCGCUGUGAAGAUGCAGUGUACCCGCGGCAAGACGGAAAGACCCCGUGAACCUUUACUAUAGCUUGACACUGAACAUUGAGCCUUGAUGUGUAGGAUAGGUGGGAGGCUUUGAAGCGUGGACGCCAGUCUGCGUGGAGCCAACCUUGAAAUACCACCCUUUAAUGUUUGAUGUUCUAACGUGGGCCCCUAAUCGGGGUUGCGGACAGUGUCUGGUGGGUAGUUUGACUGGGGCGGUCUCCUCCCAAAGCGUAACGGAGGAGCACGAAGGUUAGCUAAUCCUGGUCGGACAUCAGGAGGUUAGUGCAAUGGCAUAAGCUAGCUUGACUGCGAGCGUGACGGCGCGAGCAGGUGCGAAAGCAGGUCAUAGUGAUCCGGUGGUUCUGA